This 253-nucleotide ribosomal RNA is filed under the name uncultured bacterium. Its description in RNAcentral is "partial 16S ribosomal RNA". It matches the Rfam family "Bacterial small subunit ribosomal RNA", at positions 524 to 776 of the family's 1533-position model. The record is from RNAcentral.
UACGUAGGGUGCAAGCGUUGUCCGGAAUUAUUGGGCGUAAAGAGCUCGUAGGCGGUUUGUCGCGUCUGCUGUGAAAACUCGGGGCUCAACUCCGAGCUUGCAGUGGGUACGGGCAGACUAGAGUGCGGUAGGGGAGACUGGAAUUCCUGGUGUAGCGGUGGAAUGCGCAGAUAUCAGGAGGAACACCGAUGGCGAAGGCAGGUCUCUGGGCUGACACUGACGCUCAUGCACGAAAGCGUGGGGAGCAAACAGG